RNAcentral lists this ribosomal RNA (500 nucleotides) under uncultured bacterium. Its description in RNAcentral is "partial 16S ribosomal RNA". It matches the Rfam family "Bacterial small subunit ribosomal RNA", at positions 30 to 523 of the family's 1533-position model. The record is from RNAcentral.
AUUGAACGCUGGCGGAAUGCUUUACACAUGCAAGUCGAACGGCAGCACGGACUUCGGUCUGGUGGCGAGUGGCGAACGGGUGAGUAAUGUAUCGGAACGUGCCCAGUCGUGGGGGAUAACGUAGUGAAAAUUACGCUAAUACCGCAUACGAUCUAUGGAUGAAAGCGGGGGAUCGCAAGACCUCGCGCGAUUGGAGCGGCCGAUAACAGAUUAGGUAGUUGGUGGGGUAAGGGCCCACCAAGCCAACGAUCUGUAGCUGGUCUGAGAGGACGAACAGACAGACUGGAGCUGAGACACGGUCCAGCCUCCUACGGGAGGCAGCAGUGGGGAAUUUUGGACAAUGGGCGAGAGCCUGAUCCAGCCAUUCCGCGUGCAGGAUGAAGGCCCUCGGGUUGUAAACUGCUUUUGUACAGAACGAAAAGGUUUCUACUAAUACUAGGAGCUCAUGACGGUACUGUAAGAAUAAGCACCGGCUAACUACGUGCCAGCCGCCGCGGUAA